RNAcentral lists this long non-coding RNA (4191 nucleotides) under Eucalyptus grandis. RNAcentral's name for it is "long non-coding RNA (EGRA_LNC006792)". Lineage: Eukaryota; Viridiplantae; Streptophyta; Magnoliopsida; Myrtales; Myrtaceae. The record is from RNAcentral.
AGAUGAUUAUGUUAGUCUUUCGAAACAAGUAGUUUCUACUACUGGAGGACUUCCCUUGGCUCUCGAAACCAUAGGCUCAUUACUUCACCGCCAAAACAAAGGCUUAUGGAUAGGUGUACUGCACAAGCUAAGGGAAAUAACUCAUGAGAAGGUCCAAGAACCGUUAAAGAUUUGCUACAAUGCCUUGAGUCAUGAGCAAAAACAGAUAUUUCUUGACAUCGCAUGUCUUUUUGUGGAUGAAGACAAGACAAAUGCAUUCUACAUGUGGAAAGAUUGUGGGUUUUUACCAGAUUAUUCAACUCAAGUCCUUGUCUGCAUGUCCUUGAUAAAGAUAACUGAUGACAACAAAUUCUGGAUGCACGACCAAUUGAAAGAUCUCGGGAGGAAAAUCGUCUGUGAAGAUACAAGGCUGAUGGAUCCAAAAAAGCAGAGCAGGUUGUGGAUUCCUGAGACAGCCGUUAAAAUCAUUAGAACAGAAGAGGUGAGACCAUAUGUUUGACUGUCGAAUUCCAUGCUUCUCUUGAUGGUUCAUUUAUUAAUUGGGAGCCCUUUUUAAUAGGCCGAGAGAGGAUGAAGACUUUUUUCAUUUAUUCUUAUGCUGCCUUACCAUUGAAUGACAGAGAAAGGAGACCAUUGAAGCAGUUUGCUUGGAAGGAAAUGCACAAGAAAUCUAUAAAAGCGAAGAGUUUUCAAGACUUCCAAACAUAAGGUUCCUCAAAUUACGUGAGCGAUACUUUGUUGGAGACUUUAAGAAGCAGCUUUCAGGGUUAAGAUACUUGUCCUGGAAUAGGUGUCCUCAUCAGCUCUUGGCCAUCAAUUUUCAUCCAAGCAAUCUUGUAGUUCUCAACUUGUCUUAUAGUGCCAUCGCGGAGGACUGGGCUGGAUGGAGUCAAAUUAAGGUAUAGUAUGUUGCUAUUUGUUUAUCUAGAUCUCAAUUGAUUAUCGCUCAUAGAGUUUUUUACUUUAAUUUUUGGAACUCCUAUUGACUAUAAAAUAACUACAUAGACUAUAACACGUUGUAAAUAAAAUACGUUGUAAAUGGAGUAAUCAAGUCCUUUCACAACUAACACUAAGCUGGUCUCAUAAUCACGGCCAUUUUCGAUUAUUAUGUAUUCUGGGGAAGAAGUUGAAUUGAUAUAUGGGUGGAUAUGUGUUAAUCAAGUUGGAUAGGAGUUCAUACUAAAAUGAUUGGGUCUAUGGGGUUUAAAAGGCAAAAACGAGUCAACCCAACUAUAACUCAGUUCCAACAUAACCAUUCAUUGCCUCUAAAUUUGCAUGGAAUUUCGCCAUUACUCUGUUUUAACUAUUGUAACAGGUUGCCAAGAAGUUGAAAGUUCUGGAUCUCUCAAACUGCAACAACAUGACUAGGACUCCAAACUUUUCUGGUUAUUUGAGUUUAGAGAGAUUGAUCCUAAAAAAUUGCAGAAGACUGAUUAAUGUUGAUGCUUCCCUCGAAAAGCUUAAGUGCCUACUUUUCUUCAAUAUGGAUGGGUGUACAAAUCUUACGGAGUUGUCCGAAGGAAUGGGACAGUUAGAGAAACUCGAGUACUUGUAUUUAGGCAACUGCAGAAAGUUGAGGAAGCUACCUGAAUCAUUUGCGAGAGUGGCAUCACUGGUAGAGUUGGAUCUCUCAUAUACAGCCAUCACAAGAUUACCUGUCUCCAUUGGUAACCAAAAGCACUUAUCCAUUCUUAAACUGCAAUCAACACAAAUCAAUGAACUUCCUAGUUCUAUUGGAAAUCUAAGGGAACUUAAGUCUCUCUUUCUAUCGGGUACUAAAAUAAAGGCACUUCCUAGCUCCAUUGGGAACUUGGAAUCGCUACUCGAGUUGGAUGUCUCGGGAACACGAUGUUUGUGGUUACCCGAAUCUAUUGGAGGCCUAAGUAGAUUGAAAGUCAUCAAUAUUUCGAAUUCUUGGAUAAGGGAGUUACCGAGGAGUAUUGUCAAGCUAAAAGAGUUGGAAGAACUACAGGGCAGGGAUUGCCCGUCUCUAAAGUGGGAAAUUCCUGAGGGCAUUUCUGAAUUAUUGCUUUUGAGAGUCCUUGACUUGCAAGCAACUCGUAUAAAUGUUCCAGCGACAAUCCAACUACUUCCUCAGCUAGAGAAAUUGAGUUUAUGGCAAUGCAGGAAACUCAAAGUAUUGCCUAAACUUCCCACAAGCUUGAUAAGCCUAAGCUUUGGAUCCAGUUUGUUCCAGUAUGUCCCAGAUCUUUCAAACCUAACUGAAUUGGCGGAAUUGAACUAUGGUGGUCAUGAUGAGAACUGUCAUCCUUUGUUCGUCCAAGAUGGACCAUGUCGACAAUCUCUUGUGUUCCUUCCACCAUCUCUGUCAAUAUUGUCACUCGAAUAUCAUGAAUUAAUAACCAGUUUGUCAUUUCAUUGCGACUUGAGAAACUUGACUUGUUUGCGUAUUUAUCAAUGUCAUUGGAAGGAAGUUAAACUUGAUGGGCUCAAACAAUUGAUUGAAUUCGAAGUGGAGGGGUUAAAACUCCUCGAGAGAUUUGCUGGCCUUUCAAGGUUGAAGAGGUUGAAACUGUGGAAGCUGAUUGGUUGCCCAAAUCUAACUGCGAUCCAAGGUCUUGGUUCCAUGGAGUCGUUGGAACAAUUGGAAGUAAAAGAAUGUCCUAAGAUGAAAAGUCUAGAUGAUCUAUCGAAUUUGAAAAAGCUGGAGUACUUGGUAAUUCGAGGAUGCAAAGAGCUUCUGGUGGUUAAGGGACUGGAUGAACUGGAGACUCUCAAAAGAUUGGAUUUUAACCGUUGCAGGUCAUUGGAAAGUUUUUCUAAUGUCUUCAACUCGAACAUACGAGACAGGUGCUGCAUAACCAUUUUCACUGCUCAAAGUUAGUAGAUCCUUCGUAUGGAGGCCUGGUCAGCUCGUACAAGCAAUGGAAAGACCAAGAAGUGUCCAACAGAGCUCGUAAUCAGUCCAGCCAGAAUUAAUUGAGAAAUCUUUCUGCAGACGUUUGAAGCAAAUAAGAUCUACCCAAGCGAAAAAAUGAUUGAUCCGAAGAUCGGUGAUACUUGGAUGUUUCUUACUAGUUAUCUCCUGGGAAGUGGUUUUCAGGAUGGACUCCAUAAUUUGUGAUCUGUCUUUAAUCAUGAGUGUUCAUCAUAAUUUGGUGUGUUGUCCUUUCCUUUGAGUUUGCACUACGUGCAUUUUCGGUUGAUCAAGUCCCGUCGAUCAAACCAGGCAUUUGUUGACAUUUUCAUUCAUAGAUUUCUUGUCAUCCUAUUAUCAUUUUUGUGAAAAUUUAUGUAAUGCUUUCAACAAUGUUUUCAGUUUUCACCGCCUAGAAAGGCAUACAAGUCUUUUAAAGGCUAAAAAUUCAAAUUUAAUUGAUGAGAAUUGAGCAACAUUUUAUUUAUAUCUUCACUAUUUUCUCAGAAAUAUCUUCGAUUGUGGUAUAUCAGCAAAAAUCAAGGUCAAUAUCAGUCUGUCGGUCAAUACCGUAUCCAAUGACUGCAGACAAUGGGAACNNNNNNNNNNNNNNNNNNNNNNNNNNNNNNNNNNNNNNNNNNNNNNNNNNNNNNNNNNNNNNNNNNNNNNNNNNNNNNNNNNNNNNNNNNNNNNNNNNNNACAUGAUAAAAAUCAAAUUGUCAAAAUCAAAGUCGAACCGAAAAAAUCAGACCAUCUAAAUUGAAGGACUCUAUAGAACAGAGUGGUUAUCAUGUUGCAAGGUCAGUGUCUCGAGCAAUAACAUUCAAGUCGGACUAGCAACUUCCUAAUUGAUCAAUGGUGUGAGUAAAUCUAUCUGGAGGUCAACGAGGUAAAUCAUCGAACAGGUGACAUACAUUACAGUCGAGGGACUUCAGCGCACAUUUAAAGAAAUGAUUCACUUUUAGAUCAUCAAAUCAACAACAAUAAAAGUUCAAAUUAUCAAAAACAACUUCAAUCGCAGUUGUCUAUAUAGCUCUCAGCCUCUGCCUCGCGUGAAGAGCAACGGAGACAGAGCAUAGACGAUAAUUACCUUGAAAUUGCUGACGUCCACCGCAAAGAGCGAUCGGAUCAAAGGGAGACAUCAUCCAUGACGACGAGGCUGAGGAUCAUAGAUGACGACCGAUGAACGAAUAAUCUUCAAGCACUUCAGAAUCCCUUGGCCGAGAAACAGGGGCGAACAGAGGAAUUAACACCGUGGCCGAACCGGCGAUGGCGGAACGGCUACGGCGGCUGUUGCUGGCGGAUACGGGAUC